This 445-nucleotide ribosomal RNA is filed under the name uncultured bacterium. RNAcentral's name for it is "bacterial SSU rRNA". It matches the Rfam family "Bacterial small subunit ribosomal RNA", at positions 331 to 792 of the family's 1533-position model. The record is from RNAcentral.
CCAGACUCCUACGGGAGGCAGCAGUCGGGAAUAUUGCGCAAUGGAGGAAACUCUGACGCAGUGACGCCGCGUGCAGGAAGAAGGUUUUCGGAUUGUAAACUGCUUUCGACAGGGAAGAAACAAGACAGUACCUGUAGAAUAAGCUCCGGCUAACUACGUGCCAGCAGCCGCGGUAAUACGUAGGGAGCAAGCGUUAUCCGGAUUUAUUGGGUGUAAAGGGUGCGUAGACGGAGAAGCAAGUUAGUUGUGAAAUCCCUCGGCUUAACUGAGGAACUGCAACUAAAACUACUUCCCUUGAGUGCUGGAGAGGAAAGUGGAAUUCCUAGUGUAGCGGUGAAAUGCGUAGAUAUUAGGAGGAACACCAGUGGCGAAGGCGACUUUCUGGACAGUAACUGACGUUGAGGCACGAAAGUGUGGGGAGCAAACAGGAUUAGAUACCCUAGUA